This 72-nucleotide transfer RNA is filed under the name Marmota monax (woodchuck). Its description in RNAcentral is "tRNA.Ala". The stretch from base 5 to 65 matches the Rfam family "tRNA", at positions 6 to 65 of the family's 71-position model. Rfam says of the family: Transfer RNA (tRNA) molecules are approximately 80 nucleotides in length. Their secondary structure includes four short double-helical elements and three loops (D, anti-codon, and T loops). Lineage: Eukaryota; Metazoa; Chordata; Mammalia; Rodentia; Sciuridae. The record is from RNAcentral.
GUGUUGUGGCUCAGUGGCAGAGCACUUGCCUAGCAAGUGUGAGGCACUGGGUUCAAUUCUCAGCACUGCAUA